AUUGAACGCUGGCGGCAGGCUUAACACAUGCAAGUCGAGCGGAGAUGAGGUGCUUGCACCUUAUCUUAGCGGCGGACGGGUGAGUAAUGCUUAGGAAUCUGCCUAUUAGUGGGGGACAACAUUCCGAAAGGAAUGCUAAUACCGCAUACGUCCUACGGGAGAAAGCAGGGGAUCUUCGGACCUUGCGCUAAUAGAUGAGCCUAAGUCGGAUUAGCUAGUUGGUGGGGUAAAGGCCUACCAAGGCGACGAUCUGUAGCGGGUCUGAGAGGAUGACGCGGCACAGUGGGACUGAGACACGGCCAAGACUACGACGGGAGGCAGCAGUGGGGAAUAUUGGACAAUGGGGGGAACCGUGAUCCAGCCAUGCCGCGUGUGUGAAGAAGGCCUUAUGGUUGUAAAGCACUUUAAGCGAGGAGGAGGCUACUGAGACUAAUACUCUUGGAUAGUGGACGUUACUCGCAGAAUAAGCACCGGCUAACUCUGUGCCAGCCGCCGCAGUAA
This 501-nucleotide ribosomal RNA is filed under the name uncultured bacterium. Its description in RNAcentral is "partial 16S ribosomal RNA". It matches the Rfam family "Bacterial small subunit ribosomal RNA", at positions 30 to 523 of the family's 1533-position model. The record is from RNAcentral.